RNAcentral lists this ribosomal RNA (1179 nucleotides) under Triticum aestivum (bread wheat). Its description in RNAcentral is "partial small subunit ribosomal RNA". Lineage: Eukaryota; Viridiplantae; Streptophyta; Magnoliopsida; Poales; Poaceae. The record is from RNAcentral.
AUGGUGCCCGUCACCUGUUCGACGGAGUGCUCGACCCAGGUCGACACCAUCGACAGCGUCGACGAGGUCCAUGACACCACUACUUCCAUCUUCCCCACGCCCACAGUCGACAUCCAGCAUGCCCUCGACACCACCGUCCACGUCGCCAAGGGUUUGGGACCAUCCAAUGGUGACGACGAGUUCGUCCGCACCAUCGGCACUCCGCCGCUCGCGUCGCCAACAAUGCUGAUGUCGCUGCUUCCAGCAACCUCCCCGGCGCCUAUCACCGACUCUGCUCAUCGUGCCAUUAACGGCGACUCUAUCCCGCGGGUGCCCCUGGACAUGGAGGAAGUGCUUUUGCUCACUCAAGCCCCUUGCAUGGUUUCAGUCGUCACUUCUAUGCAGCUGCUCGUGAACCGUGACUUGGACGACUCCCUGCCAACAAAGUGUUCACAUGUCUGCCUCAGUGACACACCUAUGUCCUCAUUAAGCAUGAUGGUGUCUCCGCGCAUCAGGCACGAGACGCUAGUGCUACGGCCGAUGCCGUGGCCAUCGCUUUUGAAGGAUUCCACAGAGGGAUACAAGGUACGACCUGUUGCAUGGCCGUCUUUUGCUUGCUUGAUCUCCAUGGUGCCAAGAGAUAUGCAUGUCCUGAGUCAGCCGAUAAUGCAAGUUGUGGGUGAUCUGAACCUGGGUAUUGUGGAACGGGGACUAGUUACCUGUUCUAUGGCCGCACAUUCAUUUAUGAGCAUACAACAAAUGGGCGCUCUAAGCACAGGAUGUUCUAAUAAUAUUUUUCUUCACUUCAUGCUAAGUGCGCAAUAUGAACUAGGCUGUGUUGCUGUUAUUUACUUGCUUGAGGAAUUUUUGAGCCCAGUUAACCUUGAGUGGCGACCGGAAAGGCCACUGCUAGUAAAAGCUAAUUCCAGCAAGUUGUGUUCAUUCGGGAAGUGUGAUUCAUAUUCCACAUUAUGCUUGUUCCCUCGGAAUCCAGGGGAUUAUUUGCUCAGAAUAACCAUGGGGUUUCUUACUGCUAGCAGUGGUUCACAAUGGCAUGUUAGGUGUAUCAUUGCGCAGUCCAGUCAGUGCUUCUCUCGGAUUGUAAAAAUCGAGUGGUUGUUUCCUAUUUGUCCGAAGAUGAUGACAUGGUGCUUGGUUUUACUAUCUCCUGCUGACAAUGAUUAUGAGCUGUGGCGUUGA